AUGGUGGAUAUCCAGUUAAGCUGUUACACUAUAAAGUCCCAUGGAGCCAAAAUUGCAAGACUCCACAUGUAUGACUGGAUAAUACUUGUCCUCCUUGCUGUCAUAGAUGGAUUGUUGAAUAUAAUAAAGCCUUUUCACCGUUUUGUUGGGAAGGACAUGAUGACUGACUUGAGAUAUCCCUUACAGGGCAAUACUGUGCCCUUUUGUCCUGUUCCGCUCAUUGGAAUCGUCCUACCCUGUGUCAUCUUUGGUGGAAUUUACUUCAAGAAGAAGAAUUUCUAUGAUUUGCACCAUGGCAUACUGGGUAUUCUUUAUUCGGUGCUCAUAACUGCAGUGAUUACUGAUGCAAUUAAGGAUGGAGUUGGCCGACCGCGUCCUGAUUUCUUCUGGCGCUGUUUCCUAGAUGGAAAGGAUCUUUAUGAUAAUGUCACUACUGGCGUUCUGUGCCAUGGGGAGAAGAGUGUAAUCAAGGAAGGUCACAAGAGCUUCCCAAGUGGACACGCAUCAUGGUCUUUCGCCGGCCUGGGCUUCCUCAUGUGGUACCUAACUGGGAAAAUCGCGGUUUUCGACCGCAAAGGCCACAUCGCAAAACUGUGCAUCAUUGUUCUGCCUCUGCUUACUGCCGCGCUCGUUGCCGUUUCCCGAGUGGACGACUACUGGCAUCACUGGCAAGAUGUGUUUGCAGGAGCCAUCAUAGGAUUGUGGCCUUACGCGUACAACACCCUCCAGCUAGCCGAGGCGGGCAUCGCAGCAAACUCCUUCGGCGUGCGGCCCACGGAGGAGACAGUGGAAGAAGGGCAAGGUGAGGGUGGGAUCGCCCUGAGAGACGCCGUGCGGCCCAUGGAGGAGACGGUAGAAGAAGGGCGAGGCCGGGGCGGGGUCGCCCUAUGA
Molecule: ribosomal RNA, 891 nt
Filed under: Triticum aestivum (bread wheat)
Lineage: Eukaryota; Viridiplantae; Streptophyta; Magnoliopsida; Poales; Poaceae
Description: partial small subunit ribosomal RNA
Source: RNAcentral